This 468-nucleotide ribosomal RNA is filed under the name uncultured bacterium. Its description in RNAcentral is "partial 16S ribosomal RNA". It matches the Rfam family "Bacterial small subunit ribosomal RNA", at positions 28 to 507 of the family's 1533-position model. The record is from RNAcentral.
GACGAACGCUGGCGGCGUGCUUAACACAUGCAAGUCGAACGGAAAGGCCCUGCUUUUGUGGGGUGCUCGAGUGGCGAACGGGUGAGUAACACGUGAGUAACCUGCCCUUGACUUUGGGAUAACUUCAGGAAACUGGGGCUAAUACCGGAUAGGAGCUCCUGCUGCAUGGUGGGGGUUGGAAAGUUUCGGCGGUUGGGGAUGGACUCGCGGCUUAUCAGCUUGUUGGUGGGGUAGUGGCUUACCAAGGCUUUGACGGGUAGCCGGCCUGAGAGGGUGACCGGCCACAUUGGGACUGAGAUACGGCCCAGACUCCUACGGGAGGCAGCAGUGGGGAAUAUUGCACAAUGGGCGGAAGCCUGAUGCAGCAACGCCGCAUGCGGGAUGACGGCCUUCGGGUUGUAAACCGCUUUCGCCUGUGGCGAAGCGUGAGUGACGGUAAUGGGUAAAGAAGCACCGGCUAACUACGUG